GGUUACUGCUAUCGGUGUUCGCCUAAACCAUGCGAGUCAUAUGUAGCAAUACAUGGCGUACUGCUCAGUAACACGUGGAUAACCUGCCCUUGGGUCCGGCAUAACCCCGGGAAACUGGGGAUAAUUCCGGAUAACGCACAUAUGCUGGAAUGCUUUAUGCGUCAAAUGGAUUCGUCUGCCCAAGGAUGGGUCUGCGGCCUAUCAGGUAGUAGUGGGUGUAAUGUACCUACUAGCCGACGACGGGUACGGGUUGUGAGAGCAAGAGCCCGGAGAUGGAUUCUGAGACAUGAAUCCAGGCCCUACGGGGCGCAGCAGGCGCGAAAACUUUACAAUGCGGAAAACCGUGAUAAGGGGACACCGAGUGCCAGCAUCAUAUGCUGGCUGUCCAGAUGUGUAAAAUACAUCUGUUAGCAAGGGCCGGGCAAGACCGGUGCCAGCCGCCGCGGUAACACCGGCGGCCCGAGUGGUGAUCGUGAUUAUUGGGUCUAAAGGGUCCGUAGCCGGUUUGGUCAGUCCUCCGGGAAAUCUGAUAGCUCAACUAUUAGGCUUUCGGGGGAUACUGCCAGACUUGGAACCGGGAGAGGUAAGAGGUACUACAGGGGUAGGAGUGAAAUCUUGUAAUCCCUGUGGGACCACCUGUGGCGAAGGCGUCUUACCAGAACGGGUUCGACGGUGAGGGACGAAAGCUGGGGGCACGAACCGGAUUAGAUACCCGGGUAGUCCCAGCCGUAAACGAUGCUCGCUAGGUGUCAGACAUGGCGCGACCGUGUCUGGUGCCGCAGGGAAGCCGUGGAGCGAGCCACCUGGGAAGUACGGCCGCAAGGCUGAAACUUAAAGGAAUUGGCGGGGGAGCACAACAACGGGUGGAGCCUGCGGUUU
This 879-nucleotide ribosomal RNA is filed under the name uncultured archaeon. RNAcentral describes it as "bacterial SSU rRNA". It matches the Rfam family "Archaeal small subunit ribosomal RNA", at positions 21 to 903 of the family's 1478-position model. The record is from RNAcentral.